GAUGAACGCUGGCGGCGUGCCUAAUACAUGCCAGUCGAGCGAACAGACGAGGAGCUUGCUCCUCUGACGUUAGCGGCGGACGGGUGAGUAACACGUGGAUAACCUACCUAUAAGACUGGGAUAACUUCGGGAAACCGGAGCUAAUACCGGAUAAUAUAUUGAACCGCAUGGUUCAAUAGUGAAAGACGGUUUUGCUGUCACUUAUAGAUGGAUCCGCGCCGCAUUAGCUAGUUGGUAAGGUAACGGCUUACCAAGGCAACGAUGCGUAGCCGACCUGAGAGGGUGAUCGGCCACACUGGAACUGAGACACGGUCCAGACUCCUACGGGAGGCAGCAGUAGGGAAUCUUCCGCAAUGGGCGAAAGCCCGACGGAGCAACGCCGCGUGAGUGAUGAAGGUCUUCGGAUCGUAAAACUCUGUUAUUAGGGAAGAACAAAUGUGUAAGUAACUAUGCACGUCUUGACGGUACCUAAUCAGAAAGCCACGGCUAACUACGUG
This 497-nucleotide ribosomal RNA is filed under the name uncultured bacterium. Its description in RNAcentral is "partial 16S ribosomal RNA". It matches the Rfam family "Bacterial small subunit ribosomal RNA", at positions 28 to 507 of the family's 1533-position model. The record is from RNAcentral.